Molecule: ribosomal RNA, 522 nt
Filed under: uncultured bacterium
Lineage: Bacteria
Description: bacterial SSU rRNA
Rfam family: Bacterial small subunit ribosomal RNA
Source: RNAcentral
CCAGUAGAACUUUCCAGAGAUGGAUUGGUGCCUUCGGGAACUCUGAGACAGGUGCUGCAUGGCUGUCGUCAGCUCGUGUUGUGAAAUGUUGGGUUAAGUCCCGCAACGAGCGCAACCCUUAUCCUUUGUUGCCAGCGGUUAGGCCGGGAACUCAAAGGAGACUGCCAGUGAUAAACUGGAGGAAGGUGGGGAUGACGUCAAGUCAUCAUGGCCCUUACGAGUAGGGCUACACACGUGCUACAAUGGCGCAUACAAAGAGAAGCGACCUCGCGAGAGCAAGCGGACCUCAUAAAGUGCGUCGUAGUCCGGAUUGGAGUCUGCAACUCGACUCCAUGAAGUCGGAAUCGCUAGUAAUCGUAGAUCAGAAUGCUACGGUGAAUACGUUCCCGGGCCUUGUACACACCGCCCGUCACACCAUGGGAGUGGGUUGCAAAAGAAGUAGGUAGCUUAACCUUCGGGAGGGCGCUUACCACUUUGUGAUUCAUGACUGGGGUGAAGUCGUAACAAGGUAAGCGUAGUGCU